UUGCUUUCUUCAGUAGCACAUCUACUAAAAUUGGAAAGCGAGAGAUUAGCAUGGCUCCUGCACCAGGAUGAUACACAAAUUCAUGAAGCAUUCCAUAUUGUG
Molecule: small nuclear RNA, 102 nt
Organism: Monodelphis domestica (gray short-tailed opossum)
Lineage: Eukaryota; Metazoa; Chordata; Mammalia; Didelphimorphia; Didelphidae
Source: Ensembl